This 253-nucleotide ribosomal RNA is filed under the name uncultured bacterium. Its description in RNAcentral is "partial 16S ribosomal RNA". It matches the Rfam family "Bacterial small subunit ribosomal RNA", at positions 524 to 776 of the family's 1533-position model. The record is from RNAcentral.
UACGGGGGGGGCAAGCGUUGUUCGGAAUUACUGGGCGUAAGGGGCUCGUAGGCGGCCCUCUCAGUCGGAUGUGAAAUCCCCAGGCUUAACCUGGGAACGGCAUCCGAUACUGGAGGGCUUGAAUUCGGGAGAGGGAUGCAGAAUUCCAGGUGUAGCGGUGAAAUGCGUAGAUAUCUGGAGGAAUACCGGUGGCGAAGGCGGCAUCCUGGACCGAGAUUGACGCUGAGGAGCGAAAGCUAGGGGAGCAAACGGG